RNAcentral lists this ribosomal RNA (442 nucleotides) under uncultured bacterium. RNAcentral describes it as "partial 16S ribosomal RNA". It matches the Rfam family "Bacterial small subunit ribosomal RNA", at positions 338 to 795 of the family's 1533-position model. The record is from RNAcentral.
CCUACGGGUGGCAGCAGUGGGGAAUAUUGGGCAAUGGGCGCAAGCCUGACCCAGCAAUGCCGCGUGAAGGAAGAAGGCUUUCGGGUUGUAAACUUCUUUUACAGGGGAAGAGCAGAAGCCGGUACCCUGAAAACAAGCCACGGCGAACUACGUGCCAGCAGCCGCGGUAAUACGUAGGUGGCACGCGUUGUCCGGAUUUACUGGGUGUAAAGGGCGUGUAGCCGGGAAGGGAAGGCAGAUGUGAAAUCUUGAGGCUCAACCUCCAAAUUGCAGUUGAAACUGGUUUUCUUGAGUACUCGAGAGGCAGACGGGAUUCCUGGUGUAGCGGUGAAAUGCGUAGAUAUAAGGAGGAACACCAGUGGCGAAGGCGGUCUGCUGGACAGCAACUGACGAUGAGGCGCGAAAGCGUGGGGAGCAAACAGGAUUAGAUACCCUGGUAGUC